GUGCUUGCUUCAGCAGCUUAUAUACUAAAAUUGGAACGAUACAGAGAAGAUUAGCAUAGCCUCUGCGUAAGGAUAACAUGCAAAUUCGUGAAGGUUUCCAUAUUUAA
RNAcentral lists this small nuclear RNA (107 nucleotides) under Aotus nancymaae (Ma's night monkey). Lineage: Eukaryota; Metazoa; Chordata; Mammalia; Primates; Aotidae. The record is from RNAcentral.